RNAcentral lists this transfer RNA (68 nucleotides) under Mus musculus (house mouse). It matches the Rfam family "tRNA". From Rfam's summary of the family: Transfer RNA (tRNA) molecules are approximately 80 nucleotides in length. Their secondary structure includes four short double-helical elements and three loops (D, anti-codon, and T loops). The record is from Rfam by way of RNAcentral. Lineage: Eukaryota; Metazoa; Chordata; Mammalia; Rodentia; Muridae. RNAcentral also lists the same sequence under 1 other name.
UGGGAUGUGGCUCGUCAGAGCACUUGCCUCGUAUGCAGGAGGCCCUAGGUUCAAUCCCAGAAUCCCAG